AAUGUACAAGACUUAAGAUUCAAUUGUGUGUUUCUUCACCAAAUAAUGGAUAAAGACAAAAUUUCAAUGGGAAAACGACGUAAAUGGUUGGUGUUUUAUAAAGAAGCUUGUGAUCAUCGACUGCAUCAAUUGGAACAACUAUUUCCUCAAUGUUGCAACCAUAAGCCACUGGUGUCAACUUGAUGAUGGUAUGUAAUGGAGUUUUGAUUACUGGCAUCUCAGCUAAGGAAGGGAAAGGAGAAGGAGGAAUACAAAGUCUAAGAUCAAUCAUGUAAAUUGUGACUGAUUUGUUCAAUGGAUCAUUUCAAAUAUUUAAUCAGAAUCAACACAAUCUAUUAGUCAACAAUGGACAACAAAGCGACUCGUAACUACAAGCAAUACUAUUAAAAGAAAUGACUAGCUCUUUCAAAAUUUCGAUAUACUGUUUAUAAGAUUUGAAGUACUUUGAAGAGGAAGAAAUUGGGAUUCAAAGACUUUACUAACCUCUCCUUUUGGAUAACGAUAAUGAAACUUGUCCUGAUCACGCAAUGCGAACUCUUCUGGAUACUUCUCUUGAAUUUCUUCAUAAGUCAUUUCCUCGCAAAUUCCGGCGUCAAUUUCAUUGAGAGCCUUCCAUCUUUCCUGAGGAGCUCGAAUACUUUCAGCUGUUUGAAUGGUUCGUUUCAGUUGAGAUGUCCAUACUCGUAGACGUGGAAUUUUUUGCUCUGAAAUAUAUUGAGCUAAAGCUUUAGCAUAUUGACAUCCUCUUUCAGAAAGCUCGGAGUCACCGCCAAUUCUUCCCUGUAGAUUGUAGACACUUUCACCAUGACGAGUUAAGUAAAUUGAUCUGGGUGUAAUGUGAAUGUUCAUCAAGUAAUAAACCACUCUUGACUGUAUGUGGCCUUCGUGACGAUGAACUAAAACCUUUUCUCCAGCAUUAAAAAUCUUCAUAAAAGAAUAAUCCUUUUCUUUAUCUUCCUCUAGUGUUUGAUAUGCUUCCUUGUAGUGCUCAAUACGUUGGAGGAAAUCCUGUAAUGCCUUAUCUUGAGCCAUGUUACGAUAAUCCGGACUAUGAACUUUAACCUCCUGUAAUGAAAAUGUUUACAUUAAAAUGGUGAAGGAGUUUAGGAUGCAAGUGAUCGCAGUGUAAUGGUGAAAAAUGUGAACCAUUGUUUUAAGGAUUUCGGUGACAGUUAAUCUAGAAUUGAUGAUCUGGAUGAUUUCCGAAUAGAUAUCUAGAAUCAACAAGAUAAUCACAUCUAGAUUCAUGUCAGUAUGAUUGAGCAGAAAAAGCACAUAACUUUUCUUUUAUUCUGCCAAUAAAAACUGGUUGGAGACAAUAAAAAUUGAAUCCAGACAAGUUAUGACAAGUCUUCAUCCUGUUCUUGGUGCGAUGUUAAUCAAAAUCAAUUAUCUCUGUCAUCACUAGGAAAAGAGUCAAGCGUCACCAACACACCUUUGUAAUUAAUCAGUUGCUAACGAAAAGCUAAUUUCGAUUAAUUCAGACAAUGUUAAAGUUUUCCUCAUUACCAACAUAAUUAUUUUCUUUAUCAUUUUUCUCAGGUGCUCUUAUUUACAUAAAUAGAUGUUCGAAAGUUCUUGGCAUGAUUUUACUUUUGCUUCAACAGUUGGUACUGUUUUGUUUGGCAAAAUGAAUUCGAGGCUAAUUUUAUAAAAGCUAAUAGCUGCGAUUGAAAAUUUCGGUAAAGCAUUGAGAAAAUUUUCCUGGGAAAUGAAACACACUUGAAAUUCACUCAUUUCUUAAAGGCUGAUAAAGGCGGGAUGAUAAUUGCAAAGUAAAAUUGGGGCAAAGCAAAGAUAUCUUCUGACCCGAAUAUUGGCUUCAACAAUCUCUGGAUCUUCACAGAUUGAUUCAACGAAAAACAAUUUGUAGCCAUAUUUUUCAACAACAAAAUCGUAAAUCAACUGGCGCCGGUAAAAAGUUGUAUUGGUAGCAUCGUAAACGGCCACUUCACCGUUACCCUCAGUCAGCCAGCUACACAUAUCUUCAAGGGCAUCUAAAGCACACUUACUGGAAAAUAAAAGAUAUUUCAAUCAUUAUUAAGUUACAUAAUAAUCAGAGGUCUAAAGAAAUCAUGAUUUUUGUAAGCUUCAGUUGCUUGACGACGAUAUUCACCGACAUUAAACACCCGAGUUUUUAUUCCAAUCCAGUUAAGGUAUCGAGUCAACUUUUUGGCAAUAUACGUUUUACCCCUGGCAGGCAA
This is a non-coding RNA of Tetranychus urticae (two-spotted spider mite), 2204 nucleotides long. Lineage: Eukaryota; Metazoa; Arthropoda; Arachnida; Trombidiformes; Tetranychidae. The record is from RefSeq and is a predicted model, not a curated record.